GAUAUCAGAUUAGCUAGUUGGUGAGGUAAAAGCUCACCAAGGCGACGAUCUGUAGCGGGUCUGAGAGGAUGAUCCGCCACACUGGAACUGAGACACGGUCCAGACUCCUACGGGGGGCAGCAGUGGGGAAUUUUGGACAAUGGGGGCAACCCUGAUCCAGCCAUGCCGCGUGAGUGAAGAAGGCCUUCGGGUUGUAAAGCUCUUUCAGCCGGGAAGAAAACGCACGGGUUAAUACCCUGUGUGGAUGACCGUACCGGAAUAAGAAGCACCGGCUAACUACGUGCCAGCAGCCGCGGUAAUACGUAGGGUGCGAGCGUUAAUCGGAAUUACUGGGCGUAAAGCGUGCGCAGGCGGUUUGGUAAGAUAGGCGUGAAAUCCCCGGGCUUAACCUGGGAACUGCGUUUAUGACUGCCAGGCUAGAGUACGGCAGAGGGGGGUGGAAUUCCACGUGUAGCAGUGAAAUGCGUAGAGAUGUGGAGGAACACCAAUGGCGAAGGCAGCCCCCUGGGUCGAUACUGACGCUCAUGCACGAAAGCGUGGGUAGCAAACAGAAUUAGAUACCCUGGUAGUCCACGCCCUAAACGAUGUCAACUAGGUGUUGGGAGGGUAAAACCUUUUAGUACCGUAGCUAACGCGAGAAGUUGACCGCCUGGGGAGUACGGCCGCAAGGUUAAAACUCAAAGGAAUUGACGGGGACCCGCACAAGCGGUGGAUGAUGUGGAUUAAUUCGAUGCAACGCGAAAAACCUUACCUACCCUUGACAUGUCAGGAACUUGCCAGAGAUGGCUUGGUGCCCGAAAGGGAACCUGAACACAGGUGCUGCAUGGCUGUCGUCAGCUCGUGUCGUGAGAUGUUGGGUUAAGUCCCGCAACGAGCGCAACCCUUGUCGUUAAUUGCCAUCAUUCAGUUGGGCACUUUAACGAGACUGCCGGUGACAAACCGGAGGAAGGUGGGGAUGACGUCAAGUCCUCAUGGCCCUUAUGGGUAGGGCUUCACACGUCAUACAAUGGUCGGUACAAAGGGUCGCCAACCCGCGAGGGGGAGCCAAUCCCAGAAAGCCGAUCGUAGUCCGGAUUGCAGGCUGCAACUCGCCUGCAUGAAGUCGGAAUCGCUAGUAAUCGUGGAUCAGCAUGUCACGGUGAAUACGUUCCCGGGUCUUGUACACACCGCCCGUCACACCAUGGGAGCGGGUUCCGCCAGAAGUAGGUAGCCUAACCGCAAGGAGGGCGCUUACCACGGCGGGGCUCGUGACUGGGGUGAAGUCGAAACAAGGUAGCCGUAGGGGAACCUGCGGCUG
Molecule: ribosomal RNA, 1297 nt
Filed under: metagenome
Description: bacterial SSU rRNA
Rfam family: Bacterial small subunit ribosomal RNA
Source: RNAcentral